CAAAGUCAUGGUUAAGUGGGAAACGAUGUGGGAAGGCACAGACAGCCAGGAUGUUGGCUUAGAAGCAGCCAUCAUUUAAAGAAAGCGUAAUAGCUCACUGGUCGAGUCGGCCUGCGCGGAAGAUGUAACGGGGCUAAACCAUGCACCGAAGCUGCGGCAGCGACACUAUGUGUUGUUGGGUAGGGGAGCGUUCUGUAAGCCUGCGAAGGUGACCUGUGAGGGUUGCUGGAGGUAUCAGAAGUGCGAAUGCUGACAUAAGUAACGAUAAAGCGGGUGAAAAGCCCGCUCGCCGGAAGACCAAGGGUUCCUGUCCAACGUUAAUCGGGGCAGGGUGAGUCGACCCCUAAGGCGAGGCCGAAAGGCGUAGUCGAUGGGAAACAGGUUAAUAUUCCUGUACUUGGUGUUACUGCGAAGGGGGGACGGAGAAGGCUAUGUUAGCCGGGCGACGGUUGUCCCGGUUUAAGCAUGUAGGCUGGUUAUCCAGGCAAAUCCGGAUAAUCAAGGCUGAGGUGUGAUGACGAGGCACUACGGUGCUGAAGUAACAAAUGCCCUGCUUCCAGGAAAAGCCUCUAAGCAUCAGGUAACAUCAAAUCGUACCCCAAACCGACACAGGUGGUCAGGUAGAGAAUACCAAGGCGCUUGAGAGAACUCGGGUGAAGGAACUAGGCAAAAUGGUGCCGUAACUUCGGGAGAAGGCACGCUGGUGUGUAGGUGAAGUCCCUGCGGAUGGAGCUGAGACCAGUCGAAGAUACCAGCUGGCUGCAACUGUUUAUUAAAAACACAGCA
This 786-nucleotide ribosomal RNA is filed under the name Pseudomonas aeruginosa. Its description in RNAcentral is "partial 23S ribosomal RNA". It matches the Rfam family "Bacterial large subunit ribosomal RNA", at positions 1048 to 1820 of the family's 2925-position model. The record is from RNAcentral. Lineage: Bacteria; Pseudomonadati; Pseudomonadota; Gammaproteobacteria; Pseudomonadales; Pseudomonadaceae.